UACGUAGGGGGCAAGCGUUGUCCGGAUUUAUUGGGCGUAAAGCGCAUGUAGGCGGCCUGGAAGGUCCGUUGUGAAAACUCGAGGCUCAACCUCGAGACGUCGAUGGAAACCCCUAGGCUAGAGUCCGGAAGAGGAGAGUGGAGUUCCCGGUGUAGCGGUGAAAUGCGCAGAUAUCGGGAAGAACACCCGUGGCUAAGGCGGCUCUCUAGUACGGUACUGACGCUGAGACGCGAAAGCGUGGGGAGCGAACAGG
RNAcentral lists this ribosomal RNA (253 nucleotides) under uncultured bacterium. Its description in RNAcentral is "partial 16S ribosomal RNA". It matches the Rfam family "Bacterial small subunit ribosomal RNA", at positions 524 to 776 of the family's 1533-position model. The record is from RNAcentral.